GUAAACGGCGGCCGUAACUAUAACGGUCCUAAGGUAGCGAAAUUCCUUGUCGGGUAAGUUCCGACCUGCACGAAUGGCAUAAUGAUGGCCACACUGUCUCCUCCCGAGACUCAGUGAAGUUGAAAUGUUUGUGAUGAUGCAAUCUCCCCGCGGCUAGACGGAAAGACCCCAUGAACCUUUACUGUAGCUUUGCAUUGGACUUUGAACCGAUUUGUGUAGGAUAGGCGGGAGGCAGAGAAAGCGCAACGCCAGUUGUGCCGGAGCCGACGUUGAAAUACCGCCCUGAUUUGUUUGAGGUUCUAACCGCGACCCGUGAGCCGGGUUCGGGACCGUGCAUGGCAGGCAGUUUGACUGGGGCGGUCUCCUCCUAAAGGGUAACGGAGGAGUACAAAGGUACGCUAGGUACGGUCGGAAAUCGUGCUGAUAGUGCAAAGGCAAAAGCGUGCUUGACUGCGAGACCGACAAGUCGAGCAGAUGCGAAAGCAGGUCUUAGUGAUCCGGUGGCUCUGAAUGGAAGGGCCAUCGCUCAACGGAUAAAAGGUACUCUGGGGAUAACAGGCUGAUACCGCCCAAGAGUUCAUAUCGACGGCGGUGUUUGGCACCUCGAUGUCGGCUCAUCUCAUCCUGGGGCUGUAGCCGGUCCCAAGGGUAUGGCUGUUCGCCAUUUAAAGAGGUACGUGAGCUGGGUUUAAAACGUCGUGAGACAGUUUGGUCCCUAUCUGCCGUGGGCGCUGGAAGAUUGACGGGGGCUGCUCCUAGUACGAGAGGACCGGAGUGGACGCACCUCUGGUGUACCGGUUGUCACGCCAGUGGCAUCGCCGGGUAGCUAUGUGCGGAAGAGAUAACCGCUGAAAGCAUCUAAGCGGGAAACUUGCCUGAAGAUAAGUCUUCCCGGAGGCUAGACCUCCCUGAAGAGUCGUUCGAGACCAGGACGUUGAUAGGUCGGGUGUGUAAGCGUUGUGAGACGUUUAGCUAACCGAUACUAAUUGCUCGUGAGGCUUGAUCCU
This 1007-nucleotide ribosomal RNA is filed under the name human gut metagenome. RNAcentral describes it as "bacterial LSU rRNA". It matches the Rfam family "Bacterial large subunit ribosomal RNA", at positions 1923 to 2925 of the family's 2925-position model. The record is from RNAcentral.